RNAcentral lists this ribosomal RNA (201 nucleotides) under Escherichia coli. Its description in RNAcentral is "partial 23S ribosomal RNA". It matches the Rfam family "Bacterial large subunit ribosomal RNA", at positions 2724 to 2925 of the family's 2925-position model. The record is from RNAcentral. Lineage: Bacteria; Pseudomonadati; Pseudomonadota; Gammaproteobacteria; Enterobacterales; Enterobacteriaceae.
UCAUGCCAAUGGCACUGCCCGGUAGCUAAAUGCGGAAGAGAUAAGUGCUGAAAGCAUCUAAGCACGAAACUUGCCCCGAGAUGAGUUCUCCCUGACUCCUUGAGAGUCCUGAAGGAACGUUGAAGACGACGACGUUGAUAGGCCGGGUGUGUAAGCGCAGCGAUGCGUUGAGCUAACCGGUACUAAUGAACCGUGAGGCUU